Molecule: transfer RNA, 72 nt
Filed under: Bos taurus (domestic cattle)
Lineage: Eukaryota; Metazoa; Chordata; Mammalia; Artiodactyla; Bovidae
Also listed under: 3 other names
Rfam family: tRNA
About the family: Transfer RNA (tRNA) molecules are approximately 80 nucleotides in length. Their secondary structure includes four short double-helical elements and three loops (D, anti-codon, and T loops).
Source: Rfam by way of RNAcentral
UCUUUGGUGGCUCAGAUGGUAAAGCAUCUGCCUGCAAUGCAGGAGACCUGGGUUUGAUCACUGGCAAGGGAG